RNAcentral lists this ribosomal RNA (254 nucleotides) under uncultured bacterium. RNAcentral describes it as "partial 16S ribosomal RNA". It matches the Rfam family "Bacterial small subunit ribosomal RNA", at positions 524 to 777 of the family's 1533-position model. The record is from RNAcentral.
UACGAAGGGGGCUAGCGUUGCUCGGAAUCACUGGGCGUAAAGGGUGCGUAGGCGGGUCUUUAAGUCAGGGGUGAAAUCCUGGAGCUCAACUCCAGAGCUGCCUUUGAUACUGAGGAUCUUGAGUUCGGGAGAGGUGAGUGGAACUGCGAGUGUAGAGGUGAAAUUCGUAGAUAUUCGCAAGAACACCAGUGGCGAAGGCGGCUCACUGGCCCGAUACUGACGCUGAGGCACGAAAGCGUGGGGAGCAAACAGGG